CACAAGUCACGUGAUCUCUCCUGGCCGAAAGAGCAAUUGUGGGCAGAGGUGGAGGCUAAUGGAAGCACCCCUGGGAGGCAAUCAACUUCAGGACAGAGACUGAGUGUGGAGGGAACGCCAUGACCAGAUUUGCAUCCGGGGACAACAGCCAUGACCAGAUUUGCAUCCGGGGACAACAGCCGGGCAAGCAUGUAGAGAAAGGACAAGAGGAGCACAGCCUGGAGCUUGGGUGCCUGGUGGCUUCUGCCCAACUCGCCUCAAGGUGCUAUAAAUAAAGAAUGACCUCAGCUGCUUGGUUGACUCAGAGAGUCUACAGUGAGGAAGACUCUUACGGGAGGCAAGUGACCAGCUCAGCGACUGAAUCACAAAAUCCAAGAAGUGAGCGCUAAUGGUGAAGAAGAGGUGAAGGUCCAGUAUCAUGAAGCAUGAAGGCAGUUAGGCUGGGCAUCAGGCUCCCAGAGCCUGGUCUAUGCUACACGCAGGCAACCUCAUGCAUUGCUUCUUCUGUAUCUUUGAGUCAUGA
This is a non-coding RNA of Myodes glareolus (Bank vole), 523 nucleotides long. NCBI's taxonomy places the organism in Eukaryota, Metazoa, Chordata, Mammalia, Rodentia, Cricetidae. The record is from RefSeq and is a predicted model, not a curated record.